Molecule: transfer RNA, 76 nt
Filed under: Candidatus Ruthenibacterium avium
Lineage: Bacteria; Bacillati; Bacillota; Clostridia; Eubacteriales; Oscillospiraceae
Also listed under: 1 other name
Description: tRNA-Gln
Rfam family: tRNA
About the family: Transfer RNA (tRNA) molecules are approximately 80 nucleotides in length.
Source: RNAcentral
UGGGCUAUCGCCAAGUGGUAAGGCAACGGACUUUGACUCCGUCAUUCCGAUGGUUCGAAUCCAUCUAGCCCAACCA